Molecule: ribosomal RNA, 859 nt
Filed under: Microgenomates group bacterium GW2011_GWC1_39_7
Lineage: Bacteria
Description: bacterial SSU rRNA
Rfam family: Bacterial small subunit ribosomal RNA
Source: RNAcentral
CUGACGCUGAGGCACGAAAGCUAGGGUAGCGAAACAGAUUAGAGACCUGUGUAGUCCUAGCCGUAAACUAUCCCCGCUAGAUUCUGGUCGCAAGGCCGGAGUCGCAGUUAACACAUUAAGCGGGGCGCCUGGGGAGUACGGCCGCAAGGCUAAAACUCAAAGGAAUUGACGGGGACCCGCACAACCAGUGGAGCGUGUGGUUCAAUUUGAGACGAAGCAAAAAACCUCACCAGGGAUUGACAUGUAUUCGUUCACUCCGAUGGAAACAUUGGAGGAUCCCACCUUCAAGAGCAGAAAAAACAGAAUUUCAAAUGAAAUUGGGCAUUUGGAAUUUGAAAUUAGAAAUUUGAAAUUCAAAAACAUUUAUGUUUUUGAAGGUGGGAUGAUUACACAGGUGUUGCAUGGCUGUCGUCAGCUCGUGCCGUGAGGUGUUCCCUUAAGUGGGGAAACGAGUGCAACCCCUAUUCUAUGUUAAAUAUUCAUAGAAGACUGCCCCGUUUUUUACGGGGAGGAAGGAGGGGCGGACGUCAAGUCAGCAUGACCCUUAUACCCUGGGCUACACACACCCUACAAUGGCGAAAAACAAUGGGUUGCAAACCGGUAACGGCAAGCUAAUCCCUGAAAUUUCGCCUCAGUUCAGAUUGGGGUCUGAAACCCGACCCCAUGAAGUCGGAAUUGGUAGUAAUCGCGGAUCAGCAGGCCGCGGUGAAUACGUUCUCGGGUCUUGUACACACCGCCCGUCAAGGCAGCAAAGUCGGUAGCUAUCGAACCCCGCUUAGCGGGGGAGAUAGAGAUCGGUGAUGAAGCUUAAGUCGUAACAAGGUAUCCCUAGCCGAAGCUGGGGAUGGAUCACCUCCUU